AAAACUAUAAAAGUAGUUCCUAGGUUCACUUUUCUUUCCCAAUAUUAUAAGAGCCAAUUCAUCAGUUGCCUCGUGAGGCCACACGAACUAUGCAGGAAUAACUCCGAUGGUGUUUACCCAAUUAUCCGCGUCAACUUGUCUCUAUCCAUUAGGGCUUAAACUCAAAAGGCAAUACCGAAAAAACAUUUUACGAUCAAUAUUUCUUUUAAAUCUGGCACGCAGCCUUG
RNAcentral lists this long non-coding RNA (227 nucleotides) under Gossypium barbadense (sea-island cotton). RNAcentral describes it as "long non-coding RNA (GBAR_LNC005648)". Lineage: Eukaryota; Viridiplantae; Streptophyta; Magnoliopsida; Malvales; Malvaceae. The record is from RNAcentral.